RNAcentral lists this transfer RNA (64 nucleotides) under Parapenaeopsis hungerfordi. RNAcentral's name for it is "tRNA-Cys". It matches the Rfam family "tRNA". From Rfam's summary of the family: Transfer RNA (tRNA) molecules are approximately 80 nucleotides in length. Their secondary structure includes four short double-helical elements and three loops (D, anti-codon, and T loops). Lineage: Eukaryota; Metazoa; Arthropoda; Malacostraca; Decapoda; Penaeidae. The record is from RNAcentral.
GGUCCUGUAGUGGAAAGUAAGAUGCCAGACUGCAAUUCUGGAGAUGCGUUUAGCGCCAGGGCUU